Sinocyclocheilus rhinocerous is the source of this 226-nucleotide long non-coding RNA. RefSeq lists it as uncharacterized. NCBI's taxonomy places the organism in Eukaryota, Metazoa, Chordata, Actinopteri, Cypriniformes, Cyprinidae. The transcript is spliced from 3 exons. The record is from RefSeq and is a predicted model, not a curated record.
GGAUUAGGUUGGAGCUUUUCCCAGACAUCCUGGUCCACAGACUGAAAAUGACUGUAGAUCCAGCUGACAGCAGCUACAUGCCCUCACUGGUGGUGGUAUCAGGUGGAAGCUCUCUCAACAAUUUGAUUGAGUUGAAGGCCAUCAACAUCAAUCCCACAGACACUGCUGUCUCUCUGCUCAGUGAUUGCACAGAGUAUCACAGGUACAUCGAGAUUGCCAUAAAACA